This is a non-coding RNA of Aegilops tauschii subsp. strangulata, 3425 nucleotides long. Lineage: Eukaryota; Viridiplantae; Streptophyta; Magnoliopsida; Poales; Poaceae. The record is from RefSeq and is a predicted model, not a curated record.
ACACCCUCCCGCAGUCCCUCAAUCCAGCACCUCUCCCUCCUUCCCUCAGUCACGGGCAUGGCACACCCUUCCCCCUCAGUCCCUCGAUCCAGAUCCAGAACCAAUUCCGCCGCCUCCCUCACCGAUCCCCGCCGUCUCCUUCGCCGAUCGCCGUCGCCGACCCCCGAGCCCCAACCCUCCGCUCCCUCUUCUCCCGUGUCCUCACCUCCUACCCGGACCCUCCCCUCGAGGCCGUCUGGUUCUUCUCUGUGCUCCUCGUGGCUAGGGUUUCAGGGGCGGCGCUCACCACUUCAACACCGCCGGCAACCACAACCACAACCACGGCCUCCACCUCCCCUCCCUAGACCGAGAUCCACUCGAUUCCUCUCCCUCCCCCGAUUCCUCUACAAUCCCGCUAGCUGGAGAUCCACUCGAGCUCCCCCGUGAUUCAUCUGCAAUCCCGCCGCCGUCGAGCCCCGAGCCCCACCCCACCGGCGACCUCCCUCCCUCUUGAGGUGGACAGAUGGGGCUACAGCGCCCGAAACCCUAGCCCAUCACCCACCCAUCACCGUGGAUGGAUGGGGACAGGGCGGCGAUGGCGGAUCCACACCCAGCUUCUCGAAGUGGGUACUUCUCCGAGGUCGACGACGACUACAUCCAGGACGACUUCAACCUCUGCGGCCUCCUAGGUCGACGACUACAUCCAGGUCGACGACGACUACUCCCAGGAUGGACCUGCAUGAAGGAGAGCCUGCUGAUGAUGAGUUGCCACCAUCCCCCCAACGUGGUGCCCAUCAUAGCAGAAGAUGCUGCUGCUGACAGUGAGAGCAAACCGACACCGCCACCUCCAAGCAAGCCAGCAAAACCUAGGAGGCACAUAAUGGCCAGGCCUCCCAAUGGAUUGGGAAAGAAGGGCCAGCCCAUCCAGCUGCUUGCCAACCACUACAAAGACUCUAUCAAGCCUUCAGAGGAUUUUUUUUCAACCAAUACUAUGUAAUAAGCAUAGUUGCUUUCUUUCCUAGCUCGCGGAUUAUAUAUCCUACACAUCCUCCUUCAUUUGUUGUGAUAACUAGUUCUCACCCACUCACUUGCUCAUUGUUGUAAGUUACUGUAGUAGGUAGGUUGCUCUGAUUCUCACAAGUUAAUGCUUAGUUUGUCUGGGUGUGUGUCUACAUAUGCAGGGGAUGUGUUCGCCGAUGACCAGAAUGAGCUAAUUGUGGCGUCUGCUGAUUAUUUGAGGAUCUUUUAUAUAUGUCCCUAGAUGUCCUUAUGAAAUACCUGAUAUGAUAACAUGACCUGAAUUUGGACUAUAACCUGCUCAUCGGCUACACCUGUGCAUUUCUAUUUUGAAUGUCCUGUAUUUGUUGUUGCAUGAUAGAUACAUAUUUGUGACAUCAAUUCGUCAUUGAAUAUUGCUGAAAACUAGCUAUGUCACAUCAAUUUCUUGGUUGUCUAGUUUGUUAUGUCACAUCAAUUGUAUGCUUUUUCUGAGAUUGUGUUUUAGCUACUGCCACUUUGAGCUGUUGUAGAUUUUAGUUAUCAAUUUCAGCUGGGCUUAUAUAUUGCAUUUUCUGAGAUUGUGUUUUAGCUUUCUGCCGUGGACGCGGAGUCAGGCACCGUGACCUCAAGCCACACAAUCUGCUCAUGGGUGGAUGGGCUGGUAUCCUCUGAUGCAUGGAUGGAUGGUUGAUCCCAGCAAGAGGAAGUCUUUUCUUCCCUGGUGGACUGAAGGUCAAGGCUAAUUGUGAUGAGUCUUCACCCUAUGCUGCUAUGCUUGCAUCUUAGGAUGUUGCCACCCGUUGCAAGGUAAUCAUCCUGAAGUGUCUAGGUUUCACUUUCAGUUGUUCCUAUUAUCAGCUGUGUUCUGCUCAUUAGACUGAUGUUUGCCAACUAUCAUGAAAUGCUGGUACAUGACUAGGAUGUAGUCCUGCAUUGCUCUCCUUGGAUGUGUCUCAGAGUUGUUUCUGUUCUUUCAGGAGCUCGGUAUCACCGCACUGCACAUUAAACUCCAUGCCACUGGAGGCAACAAGACCAAGGCACCAGGUCCUGGAGCUCAGUCUGCCCUCAGGGCUCUUGCUCAUUCUGGGAUGAAAAUUGGGCGUAUUGAGGACAUGACUCCAGUUCCCACUGACAGCACCCGCCGGAAGGGAGGAAGGAGGGGAAGGAGGUUGUAGGCUAUCUUUCAACUCUAUUCGUGGCAAUGAAGAAACUUACUGCUCUCUGGGAUCUCCGCAUCCGAGUCCCAGCUGUCCUCCGCAGCAAGGAGCUGGGCAAAGGGAGCAAGCAGUGCCGCUGGUUCCUUCGAGGAUGCAUGCUGCUGGUCGAGUCUUGUGGAGAAGCAAGUCGUAUUGGGCAUCAUCUCACUUGUGCCGUUGUGGUAAGAGCAGAAUGCCACUCUCACUUGAUGUGCAUGUAUUAACACAACAAAGCAUUCUUACAUGGUGAUUGUUAGUGACGCAACAGUUAUCUCGCAUAAUAGUGUCAUUCUCUUCGCAGUUAACAAAUGCAUCUUGUCCAACUGAGUAAACUAGACCCAGCUUGUACAAUAAAGUGAACUAAAUGUUGCCGCAUUCUGUACAUGUUACUUUCUAUUUGGUGUCUGAUAAUGAUAUCUAUGGAAAUUCUACUUUGUAUAGAAUAAAUAAUGUGUUAUGGAGCACAAGCUAAUUUUUGUUGACAUGAAUUUGUUAUGCCCCUUAUUUUGACUUAGUUUCACCCACGUUGCUUUUCAAAUCAUGAGACUGAUGAGUUUUCCUUGUAGGCAACAUUGCUUUAGGAUUAAUGUAAGAUUUUGUGAGUAUGCCUAGGUUCUGCGAAUAUGCAUCGCAAACAUCUAGUGUUCUAAUAUAGUUGGUCUCUAAAACAUCUAGUUAUUUGAAGUUGUUUGAAUCUGUUGCUUUAUCAUACAUUCGGUCCAUAAAUCUGCAUUUCUAUCAAAUUUCGUUAAAUAUGUUAUUUCCUGAUGGUCUGCACACUAAACCUGGAGGUUUGAAUAUCUACUCCAGGAAUGAAAAGGCUACUCUAAUGCAUUUGUGUUCACCCUUUUACAGGAGCUCCAGGCCUAGGAAAUUUCAAGUUCGAAGCCGCGUGCAGCCCUACGCAGCAAAGAUUUGUUCUGUUUGACUGGAAUAGACUGUAAAGAUUAUAGUAUUGUAAUAGUAGGCAUAUCUUGGUUGUAAUAGACUAUGCACAGAAUGUAAUAGACUAUGUACAGGAGCUCCAGGCCUAGGAAAUUCUACAUUUCUUCUAUUCAUAUUUAAAAUAUUGAUUAUUUGUGUGAUUCGAAGACAUUUGAAAUAGAAACCUGAUUAGUGGAGCCAUUUCUGAAAAUAAUCUAAACAAUUCUCACAUUUCUGACAUGUGGGACCAAUAUAGGAGAUUAUUACAAGUGAGACCCAUCUUACUUGUGGGACCAGCUUGAAAAAUAUAUUGACUGAAACACUAAA